CUCAUAUAUAUCUAAAACCCUAGAAUCACAUUCAGUCACUCAAAUUUCUGAACUCUCACUUAUGGUUUGAGAAUCAACAACACAGUAACAAUGUCGAUGUCUAAGAGUAUGUUUGUACGUGGUGCUGAAAUCGUUGUUUGAUUCCCUUCUCUGAACAAGUUCUUCUUCUAGCUUGUUUCCUUAUCUGCGCUAUCUCCUUGAAAAAAUAGUUAAAUUGUGUGUUUAUUUUAUUGUUAAAUUUUGAUAUACAAUCUCCACUUCCAAGGAACAGUUCGAAGCAGUGCGCAACUGUUGAUGAGGAUGACAUUUAUUUCUUCGUCAUCUGAUCUGGGGAUUGUUUGGUCGUUCAUAUUGUUCUUUCUCUCAACUGUGAUUUCUUUGAUUAAUCAGGUUAGGUUCGAAGAUGGUUUAGCCACCGUGUUUGGUCGCCGGCGCUAUCUUCGGUAUAUCUGGCUUCACGUCAUGAUAUCAUUCAACUCUUGGAUUUUAAUCCGAGCCCGGGUCUCCAUUCCAUUGCUAUUAUAGCAUUGUGGCCCAUUGAAGGCACACAUGGUGUACCAGUACAACAUUGGAUUCAAGAAUCUGAGCUGAUACAUUUGUAUUUGUAGUUAAAAGAAUCUGAAAAGCAGUAUAAAAAACAUUCAUCCAGUUAGAUGUCGAAGAUCAGGACAUGAUCUAUAAGAUGUAUGAGAGGUUUGGAGUUUCUUAUAGGGGCAACAACAACAAUGCAUAAUUAACGAUGCUCGUUGUUCUUGGAAAAUCUUGUGUUGUGCGGCUCAUCGUGUGAUUGUGACCGCGACAAAGGAAAUAUGUCGCUGCAAUUGACUUUGAAAAUGAGGGUAAAUACCUGGCAUCAGCCAUCCGUCACAGGAAGUGGUUGUCUCACCAUUCACAAUUUCGAUAGUCUCUACCCUGAGGCAUUGACUUCAGUAGGUGUUUGGGUUGCUAACCCUAAAGUCACGCGUGCGCCACCUCCAGAGUCAGAGAUCGUUGGUCUGUCACAGGCCAAAAACACCGCCUCCAAAUCUUCAUCCUUGUGCUGCCACGUGCGAAAACAUAACCUGUGUCUCCUGGCACGUGAAACCCACGCACCUUACUCUGAUCACCAGUUCACCACAUGGUUCCCACCAUUUGGUUUGCUCCUCCCCUUUGGUUCUUUUAAGACUCUUUCCAGCUUGUGGGUCCCAUGGUAAAUGGGUGUUUUUGAGGUUUCUUUGCUUUUGUGUUGGUUUUUAAUCAUCACGAUGAUGUUACAGAACGUUUUUUACUUCUGUUUUUGGUCUUUUAUUGUCGUGACUGUGUCCCAAGGGUUUUCGGUUUAGAUUUCAGGAUAAUUUGGUUGUUGUGUUUUGAUUAUACAAUGCAUAGCAGCCAUUACACGUCUAUUGUUGUUCUAAUAUCGACAAGAUAUUUCAACAAGUGAUAAUGAUCAUUUGUAUUUUUGUUUUAGUGCCUGGUGUUAAUGUAGGCACAUAUAAGGAAAUGUAUAUCUUAAUUAAUGUUUUAAUUAAGAAUAAGUGUAUAUUAUAUUUAGUA
Cicer arietinum (chickpea) is the source of this 1536-nucleotide non-coding RNA. The record is from RefSeq and is a predicted model, not a curated record. NCBI's taxonomy places the organism in Eukaryota, Viridiplantae, Streptophyta, Magnoliopsida, Fabales, Fabaceae.